RNA transcript from Entelurus aequoreus (snake pipefish), 927 nucleotides. It is a transcript of the gene named zinc finger, AN1-type domain 1, with no coding region annotated. NCBI's taxonomy places the organism in Eukaryota, Metazoa, Chordata, Actinopteri, Syngnathiformes, Syngnathidae. The transcript is spliced from 9 exons. The record is from RefSeq and is a predicted model, not a curated record.
UGAGUCUAGUCUGCCGGAAAUUGACAGUAGAAGAAGAAAAAGCAAAUGGCGGAACUGGACGUUGGCGAGCAUUGUCAGCAUGAGUCUUGUCACCAGAAAGACUUUCUGCCAUUUGUUUGCGAUUCCUGCAGUGGAGUUUACUGCCUUCAACACAGAAGCAGAGAAGCCCAUUCAUGUUCAGAGGAGCCUGUGAAAAGAGAAGCGUCUACUGGAAGCGUCGUCAUAAACCAUCCCUGCUCUUUUGAAGAGUGUAAAGAGAAACAACUACUUCCUGUCAUCUGCCCGCAGUGUGAAAAACACUUCUGCCUGGCCCACCGUCAUCAAGAUGAUCACAAGUGUGAGAAGUUGGAGAUCCAAAAGCCUCGAAUGGCAGCCACCAAAGAGCUUGUGCAAAGGAUUGUGGAGUCAAAGGAUGGAUCCAAAAGCAAAGGACGUAAAGGAGCAAAGAACAGUGCCACGGCUGCCAAGGUAGCGUUGAUGAAACUGAAGCUGCACGCUGUAGGAGACAAGGGGUUGCCGCAGACAGAAAGAACCUAUUUUCAAGUGUAUCUACCUAAAGAGUCUGAAGUCAGCAGUCAGCCUAUGUUCUUCUGCUCCAAAUGGAGCGUUGGGAAGGUGGUGGAUUACGCGGCCUCGCUCGCUUCCCUAAAGAACAACAACAACGUCCUCGCAGCUAAGGUAAGGCUCUGCGCCAGGAUGACAGCCUGCACUCCCUGCUGACCAGCCCACAAGACCCCCUGCACAAUGGGGGCAACGUGAUCCUGGAGUACCUGGACAAUGACAGCUCUGGCCUGGAGGACGUUUGUCAAUACAUUACCGCUGGCUGAACUCCUAAAAUAGAACUGCAAUGAAGCUGCUGGAAAACUCCAGUUUUGAAGCCCUCAGCUCGCGUCUGUGUGCAGAAACAGGAGAGUCUCGCAUUAUUGG